UCCGCCUUUUAAAACAUGGUUUCCAUACAGAAAAGACAUCUCAGAAGUUGGUUUAAGCCAAACCUUGUGCUUGGCAUUGGGGGACAAUAGCCCUAGCGAGUGAACGGUGAGAUGAAAACUACCGCCAUGAGUGAACUUUCCGAUGCAGGUGCCGAGAGAGACGAGGUUAGAGCGGGCUACGUUGGUGGCUCGUUUGACGAGGGAGUCACUGACGUAAUAGACCUUGUUCUUAUGGAGGCGGAAGCAGUAGCGGCCAGGAUUUGGUUCGGGGCCUUCGUGGGAGGGAUUCUCGACGAUGUUCUUGAGGUUGUUUCCUGUAAAUUUGUGAAGCUUUUCGAACACGACGGUGGUCUCCUGCUCGUCUAAGGGCCUCAUCGUCGCCGAUCGGAGCUGGAGGAAUGAGCGGUGGCGCGGUG
This 416-nucleotide unclassified non-coding RNA is filed under the name Hevea brasiliensis (rubber tree). The record is from RNAcentral. Lineage: Eukaryota; Viridiplantae; Streptophyta; Magnoliopsida; Malpighiales; Euphorbiaceae.